Ochotona curzoniae (black-lipped pika) is the source of this 130-nucleotide small nucleolar RNA. The record is from RefSeq and is a predicted model, not a curated record. Lineage: Eukaryota; Metazoa; Chordata; Mammalia; Lagomorpha; Ochotonidae.
UUCCAAAGUGUUGAGUUCAGUUCAGUGAGCUUCCCCGAUCUGAUCAUUAAACAUUGGAAUAUUAAAACUGGCUGGGGAAAAUGAUUGGAUAGAAAUUAUUCUUCUGUUCACAUAUUUCCAACCUCUAAUU